Molecule: long non-coding RNA, 1213 nt
Organism: Chionomys nivalis (European snow vole)
Lineage: Eukaryota; Metazoa; Chordata; Mammalia; Rodentia; Cricetidae
Exons: 3
Source: RefSeq, a predicted model, not a curated record
CCCACCUUUGGGUGGGGCAAGACCACAGCAAAUGAAUUCGCAGUCCCUGCCUCCCCUUUUCUGCCUGGUAAAUUUUCAAGCCAUUUUUUCUCCUUACGUUUUUUUGGCAAACACGAGGCAAUAUUUUUGAUUCUAGAAUCUCCGUCCUCCUAGGGAAGCAACUAGCUCCGGACGCUCUUUCCCAGGAGGCAGCUCUUUGCCGCGAUAGCGACAGAAGAUGGCUGCCGUGGCGAGCUAGCAAGCUCUGGAUUCCGCAAGCUCCUGGCGAACUUCACUUCUAAGAAGACCUCCCAGGAAUUAGCUCCGGAGAAGCUCAGUAUCCAAUGGAGGCACAUCUCCAACCACUUUGAUGUAACUCUCUAUGCCAAGCGAUGAAAGCCCAGAGUCCACCAUGAAUAAUUCGCAAACAACACACAGGUUUAUUUGGAGAUCUUAAAAAUCCUUGGCUCCAGGUUGACAUUUCAUACGUUCCAGAAGAAGAAAUGAUCCUUCAUUUUCUAGUGCAGUGGACUGAUUUAACCUCCCCAUGGCAGAGGCACAAUGCAGGCACUCUCACUGGUACACAGGCACAGACUGCCACCCACGCAACACUGGAACAUCAAACACCAUUAUUUCAAGCAAUAAAAUUCCAAUUCCAAUUUGUGAGCAAUUAGCAAUAACGUUUGAUGACUCACUGGAUAGGAGAUAAGAUUUAUGUAACUUCAUGAAGAGAAAAAUCAUCAUCCAAAGUAAAUAUGUCAUUUGUAAUAUAUUGCUUUUACUUAGGCAUGUUUCUCUGACAAAGAUUUGCAUGGUGUUUGCUUAAGUUAACAAAUAAAACUCCAUCAGAAAUGAGAGUUGUGUCUGAGAGAUCCUGCAUACCGUACACUCUAGAAAUAAGUGGCUAUCCAAGUCACUCGGGCCUUUCAUCCUUUGGGGUUCCUCCUUUCUUUGAAAAUAAAGUGAUUUAAUCCUUUUUUGCCCUUGUUGCUAUGGUUUGGAUAUGAUUCAUCUUCUAACAUGUUCGUGUGCUAGAAACUUAAUCUCCAGCGUAGAGGCAUUCAGAGAUGGUGGGAGUAAGAGAGGCAAGUGGGAAAUCUCUAGGGAUGCUUCCCCUUGAAAGAUUAAGGUGGAGACCCUGGUUGAUUCUCAUAAAGAAAAGGGCUCACCUUUCUCCUUGCUUGGGCUUCUACUUUUGAAAGAAGAUACUUAAGCUUCCUUGGCCAUAUUUAUG